Small nuclear RNA from Suricata suricatta (meerkat), 107 nucleotides. Lineage: Eukaryota; Metazoa; Chordata; Mammalia; Carnivora; Herpestidae. The record is from Ensembl.
GUGCUCAGUUUGGAAGCACAUAUACUAAAAUUGUAACAAUACAGAGAAGAUCAGCAAGGCUCCUGCGCAAGGAUGACACACAAAUUCAAGAAGCAUUCCAUAUUGAA